This 253-nucleotide ribosomal RNA is filed under the name uncultured bacterium. RNAcentral's name for it is "partial 16S ribosomal RNA". It matches the Rfam family "Bacterial small subunit ribosomal RNA", at positions 524 to 776 of the family's 1533-position model. The record is from RNAcentral.
UACAGAGGGUGCGAGCGUUAAUCGGAAUUACUGGGCGUAAAGCGCGUGUAGGCGGACGUGUAAGUCAGGUGUGAAAUCCCCGGGCUCAACCCGGGAACUGCACUUGAAACUGCGCGUCUUGAGUACUGGAGAGGGUAGUGGAAUUCCUGGUGUAGAGGUGAAAUUCGUAGAUAUCAGGAGGAACACCGGUGGCGAAGGCGGCUACCUGGACAGUCACUGACGCUGAGACGCGAAAGCGUGGGGAGCAAACAGG